AGCAGUCGCCGCGAGAAUACGUAGGGUGCAAGCGUUGUUCGGAAUUACUGGGCGUAAAGCGUGCGCAGGCGGUUCGUUAAGACAGAUGUGAAAUCCCCGGGCUUAACCUGGGAACUGCAUUUGUGACUGGCGAGCUAGAGUAUGGCAGAGGGGGGUAGAAUUCCACGUGUAGCAGUGAAAUGCGUAGAGAUGUGGAGGAAUACCGAUGGCGAAGGCAGCCCCCUGGGCCAAUACUGACGCUCAUGCACGAAAGCGUGGGGAGCAAACAGGAUUAGAUACCCCCGUAGUCCCUGUCUCUUAUAC
Molecule: ribosomal RNA, 303 nt
Filed under: uncultured bacterium
Lineage: Bacteria
Description: partial 16S ribosomal RNA
Rfam family: Bacterial small subunit ribosomal RNA
Source: RNAcentral